ACGACUCUCGGCAACGGAUAUCUCGGCUCUCGCAUCGAUGAAGAACGUAGCGAAAUGCGAUACUUGGUGUGAAUUGCAGAAUCCCGUGAACCAUCGAGUCUUUGAACGCAAGUUGCGCCCGAAACCUUCGGGUCGAGGGCACGUCUGCCUGGGCGUCA
This 158-nucleotide ribosomal RNA is filed under the name Bassia scoparia (summer cypress). Its description in RNAcentral is "5.8S ribosomal RNA". It matches the Rfam family "5.8S ribosomal RNA". Rfam says of the family: 5.8S ribosomal RNA (5.8S rRNA) is a component of the large subunit of the eukaryotic ribosome. It is transcribed by RNA polymerase I as part of the 45S precursor that also contains 18S and 28S rRNA. Lineage: Eukaryota; Viridiplantae; Streptophyta; Magnoliopsida; Caryophyllales; Amaranthaceae. The record is from RNAcentral.